Molecule: transfer RNA, 72 nt
Filed under: Camelus bactrianus (Bactrian camel)
Lineage: Eukaryota; Metazoa; Chordata; Mammalia; Artiodactyla; Camelidae
Also listed under: 1 other name
Rfam family: tRNA
About the family: Transfer RNA (tRNA) molecules are approximately 80 nucleotides in length.
Source: Rfam by way of RNAcentral
GUGGGUAUAGCUUAGUGGUAGAGUGCCUGCCUAGCAUACACGAGGUCCUGGGUUCAACCCCCAAUAUCUCCG